RNAcentral lists this ribosomal RNA (467 nucleotides) under uncultured bacterium. RNAcentral describes it as "partial 16S ribosomal RNA". It matches the Rfam family "Bacterial small subunit ribosomal RNA", at positions 28 to 507 of the family's 1533-position model. The record is from RNAcentral.
GACGAACGCUGGCGGCGUGCUUAACACAUGCAAUUCAACCGAAAGGCCCUUCUUUUGUUGGGUUUCCGGGUGGCGAACGGGUGAGUAAUACGUGAGUCACCUGCCCCUGCCUUUUGGUUUACUUUAAGAUACUGGGGCUUACACCGGUAACGCAUUCCACCUGCGUGGUGGGGGUUGGGAACUUUCGGCCGUUGGGGAUUGACUCGCGGGUUAUCGGCUUGUUGGUGGGGGAGUGGAUUACCCAGGCUUUGCCCGGUAGCCGGCCUGAGAGGGGGACCUGCCACAAUGGGACUGAGAGAGGGCGCAGACGCCAAUAGGAGGCAGCAGGGGGGAAUAUUGCACAAUGGGCGGGAGCCGGAUGCAGCAACGCCGCGUGCGGGAUGACGGCCUUCGGGUUGUGAACCGCUUUAGCCUGUGACGAAGCGUGAGUGACGGUAAUGGGUAAAGAAGCACCGGCUAACUACGUG